RNAcentral lists this ribosomal RNA (1462 nucleotides) under human gut metagenome. RNAcentral describes it as "bacterial LSU rRNA". It matches the Rfam family "Bacterial large subunit ribosomal RNA", at positions 1082 to 2561 of the family's 2925-position model. The record is from RNAcentral.
UGCACAGACAACCAGGAUGUUGGCUUAGAAGCAGCCACUCAUUUAAAGAGUGCGUAAUAGCUCACUGGUCGAGUGAUCCUGCGCCGAAAAUUUCCGGGGCUAAAACGUACUACCGAAGCUACGGCAUCAUUUAUGAUGGGUAGGGGAGCUUCGUAUGCAGGCUGAAGCAUGACCGUAAGGACAUGUGGACAGUAUACGAGUGAGAAUGUUGGCAUGAGUAGCGAGACGUGGGUGAGAAUCCCACGGGCCGUAAACCCAAGGUUUCCAGGGGAAGGUUCGUCCGCCCUGGGUUAGUCGGGACCUAAGCCGAGGCCGAAAGGCGUAGGUGAUGGACAACAGGUUGAUAUUCCUGUACCGCCAAUAAGCGUUUGAGAGAUGGAGUGACACAGUAGGAUAAGCUAACCGUACUGUUGGUUAUGUACGGCUAAGCAUUGAGGCAGUCUAAAUAGGCAAAUCCGUUUAGACAAUGCUAGGAUGUGAUGGGGAAGCCCUUCGGGGCGAAGUAGCUGAUUUCACACUGUCAAGAAAAGCUUCUAUCGAGUUUAAAGGCGCCCGUACCGUAAACCGACACAGGUGGGUGAGGAGAGUAUCCUAAGGCCAGCGAGAGAACUAUUGUUAAGGAACUCGGCAAAAUGACCCCGUAACUUAGGGAGAAGGGGUGCCUGUCUAUGACAGGCCGCAGAGAAUAGGCCCAAGCGACUGUUUACCAAAAACACAGGUUUCUGCUAAGUCGCAAGACGAUGUAUAGGAGCUGACGCCUGCCCGGUGCUGGAAGGUUAAGGGGAUCUGUUAGAGCAAUCGAAGCAGUGAACUUAAGCCCCAGUAAACGGCGGCCGUAACUAUAACGGUCCUAAGGUAGCGAAAUUCCUUGUCGGGUAAGUUCCGACCCGCACGAAAGGCGUAACGAUUUGGGCACUGUCUCAACAAUAGACUCGGUGAAAUUGUAAUCCCGGUGAAGAUGCCGGGUACCUGCGACAGGACGGAAAGACCCCAUGGAGCUUUACUGUAGCUUGACGUUGGGUCUUGGUACUACAUGUACAGGAUAGGUGGGAGACUAUGAAGCAUGGACGCCAGUCUGUGUGGAGUCAUCCUUGGGAUACCACCCUUGUAGUACUGGGAUCCUAACCAUAGGCCUUGAAUCAGGUCUUGGAACACCGUCAGGUGGGCAGUUUGACUGGGGCGGUCGCCUCCUAAAAAGUAACGGAGGCGCUCAAAGGUUUCCUCAGCACGGUCGGAAAUCGUGCGAAGAGUGUAAAGGCAAAAGGAAGCUUGAUUGCAAGACAUACAGGUCGAGCAAGGACGAAAGUCGGACUUAGUGAUCCGGUGGUACCGCAUGGAAGGGCCAUCGCUCAACGGAUAAAAGCUACCCUGGGGAUAACAGGCUUAUCUCCCCCAAGAGUCCACAUCGACGGGGAGGUUUGGCACCUCGAUGUCGGCUCAUCACAUCCUGGGGCUGUAGUAG